RNAcentral lists this ribosomal RNA (404 nucleotides) under uncultured bacterium. Its description in RNAcentral is "bacterial SSU rRNA". It matches the Rfam family "Bacterial small subunit ribosomal RNA", at positions 29 to 433 of the family's 1533-position model. The record is from RNAcentral.
AUUGAACGCUGGCGGCGUGCUUAACACAUGCAAGUCGAGCGGUAACAGGCGUAGCAAUACGUGCUGACGAGCGGCGAACGGGUGCGUAAUACAUCGGAAUCUGCCUAGUAGUGGGGAAUAACCCGGCGAAAGCCGGGCUAAUGCCGCAUACGAUCCACGGAUGAAAGCGGGGAACUUUCGGGCCUCGCGCUAUUAGAUGAGCCGAUGUCGGAUUAGCUAGNGGUGAGGUAACGGCUCACCAAGGCGACGAUCCGUAGCUGGUCUGAGAGGACGGCCAGCCACACUGGGACUGAGACACGGCCCAGACUCCUACGGGAGGCAGCAGUGGGGAAUAUUGGACAAUGGGGGAAACCCUGAUCCAGCGACGCCGCGUGUGUGAAGAAGGCCUGCGGGUUGUAAAGCAC